Molecule: ribosomal RNA, 233 nt
Filed under: uncultured bacterium
Lineage: Bacteria
Description: partial 16S ribosomal RNA
Rfam family: Bacterial small subunit ribosomal RNA
Source: RNAcentral
UGAGGAACAUGACCUUCGGCGGGGGAUAGCCGGCCCAACGGCCGGGUAAUACCGCGUACGACCACAUGGGGACAUCCCUGAGUGGUGAAAGCAGAAUGCGCCGAUGGAGUGCCUCGCGGCCUAUCAGCUAGUUGGUGAGGUAACGGCUCACCAAGGCGACGACGGGUAGCUGGUCUGAGAGGAUGGCCAGCCACAUUGGGACUGAGACACCGGCCCAGACUCCGUAGGGACGG